Dermochelys coriacea (leatherback sea turtle) is the source of this 5577-nucleotide long non-coding RNA. RefSeq lists it as uncharacterized. The transcript has 8 exons. The record is from RefSeq and is a predicted model, not a curated record. NCBI's taxonomy places the organism in Eukaryota, Metazoa, Chordata, Testudines, Dermochelyidae.
UGGGAGGAGGCCAUGGGGAAGUAGUCCAGGGAAUUGUAGGCUGUCAUGUAGCUAUUAAAGGAGGCAGUCUAGACAGCUGCAAUCCACAGGCCCUGGGUUGGAACCCAGAGCAGAGGGUGGGCCUGGGUUCCCCCCAAACCUCCCAACUCCUGAUCAGACACAGGAGAGGUUGACCUGGACUGUGGGUUCCAUCAGAGGGGAGGUGUCUGGGCUAUUUCCCGACCUACAUGGUGGAUCAGCAGAGGCUGCGUGGAUUGUUCUUUUUUUCUCCAUGCUGGCCAGCGAUGAGAUUAUCUGAGUGACCGGCAGAUUUGAGCCAUGAAAGUGGCUAAACUGAGGGCUGCCAUGAAUCUCUGAGGCAAGUAAAUCUGCCAGCACAGGACCCACCAAGAUAGAGGAGCAACUUUUGUCACAAUUGAUUACCCCCAAAAGUUGACAACAGUUACUAUACAGCUACCAAGAGUUAUUUCCUUUCUUACGUGUAAGGAAAAUCUGAGCUUUCUUUAGACACCAUUGUAUGUGGUAACUUGGCAAAAGCUGACAUUUUCAGCCACAGUCUCUAAUUUUGUGUCUUAAAUAAUAUUUCACUGGAGUCACUUCUGGUUAACAGUAGAGUAAAUGACAGGAGAUUCAGGGCCCUUAUUUUUCUCUUGAUGAAAAGCAGUCGAGCAUCUUUUCCUGUUACGCCAUUUGCACUCACCAUGUGAGAACUGUAGCCUAAAUGCCAAUGAACCCCCCCCACCUUUUCUUGUACAUUAAGAAUCAAUCCAUCAAUAAGAAUAUUGAUGAAAUUACUUUUAGAACUGAGCUGAAAUGGGAUUUUUUUGCUCUGUGACAAAUUCUUAGAUUUUGGGGAAAAAAAUUCAUUCUGUAGAGUAAUGAAAGAAACCCUCAAUUUUCUGAAAAACAGCUGCCUGGCUACCCACUUGGCAGCCAGGGAUCUGGGCAGCCUAUCCAUUCUCCAGUAGGGUAGCCUGGGAAGCCAGGUGGGGAACUGGCUGCUUGUGAUUCCUGAACCCAUAGCUCCUGGGGGAGUCCCAGCUCCCACCUGCUGGGGUGUCUGGGAGCCUGGAUUGCCAAGGAGCCAGGAGCUUGGGAGUGGGGGCUCCCUGGGCUGCCAGGUCAAGCUCUCCAGUAACCCACCAAGUGGGUUACCAAGGAGGUGGGUAGGUGAGUUACAGGCAGGCUUCAAUACCCGAGUGGCAGGCAGGGUUCUGUUGGAAACCUGCCAAGUCGGAUGGAUUUCUGCUGAAAUUGACAUGGAACAUUUUGAUUUCGAUAACUAAGUAGAGUUGAUCAGAAAAUGCUGAAAGUAUCAUGCUUUCCAGAGAUAUUGUCACAGGCUGGCAGGCCUUUGAGUCGACCUGAGUUUAUUUAACAGCUAUCCCUCAGCCUGAAUGAUGAGCUGGCAACAUAACUGCUAGUUAGUGACCCCAGCUUGGUAUACUGGGGCUUAAUUAGAAAAUGACCCCAGCUGUUGUGAUGAACAGGGCUGAUGUUACGGAUAGCAAGCAGGGCAAUUGCCCAGGGCUCAAACAUAGGGGCUGGAACGAGCGGUGCUGGGGGUGCUGCUGCACCCCUUGGCUUGAAGUGUUUACAGUUUACAGGGUUUACAGUUUGGUUCAAUGGCUCUCAGAACCCCCACCAUACAAGUUGUUUUAGAACCCUUGGGCUUGAGCGUUGGCUUCAGAAACAUUGCAGAAAUCUAAUGUGUGAGUAGGUAACGGAGGUGGGCUGGGAGCUCCCUCCUUAAUUUCUGCCUGGGCCCCAGUGUGUCUAAUGCCAGCCUACAUGUGAAACAGGGAGAGUACUACUUAAAUAGAGCUGGUAACUCGAUGAGGGGAGACCUAGGGGAGAGGAGCUAGGGAAAGUUCCCUCUCCCUGGGAAGGUCCUAGAGGAAGGUAUGGUUGUUUAGCUCUGCUUUCUGGUCACAGGCAGUUCCAAAGGAGCAGGGCUAACUCCUGUGGUAGGGCCCUAGGAUGGAGAGAAGCCCCAGCCUAGGGUCUGUGAACCAGGGAAUGAGAGAGAAGCUCAUGAAGGGUGAAACGCUACUUAAAGUGGUACUUACCCUCCCCAGCAGGGAAAAGCUUGUUGGAGGGGGGUCAGUACCCCAACAAGGGGGAAGAAUUGAAGUCGAGCCCCAGGAGUAGGACCUUUGGUAGGGCUGAAUCUUGGAAGGGAACUGAACUGUUGUGUGACUUGGACGGAGGUCUGAGCCACAGAAGAGCCAGUGAGAGAAUCUUAAGAUAAGAUCAGCUGGGACAGCGGAGAAAGUGAUUACUAGGGCAAAAUCUCCUGCAAUGCUGCAUCCGGGCAGGAGGGGGAACCUUUAGAGGUAAAGAUAUGCCCUUGGAGAUACAGAAGCAGAUUGCUUAGAAUAAAGUAAUUGGAAAAGGGGAGAACCCCUUAGCAUCCAUGAACUUUAGACUCUUUUCCCAUGGAAGUCUUUGAAAUUGCUUAUUGCAAAAUGUGUAUGACACAGAUAAGUCAGCUGAAUGGUUUUAGAUUCAAGUUUAUUCUGAAGACCAUAAGCUUCUCAAAGGACUUUUGGAGAAGCAAACAGUGACAGCUCAGACAAGUCCCAAGAUUGAUAUGAAAAAGGCAUUGGACGUAGAACAUAAGAAUUUAGUGUCUGAUUCCAGGGUCCAAUUCCUCUUACUGGGUGAUUUAAAAGGAGGCAAAGAUUUCAGAGUUUGUUGUCUGGAUCUAUCUUAGAGGUGAUAUAGAAACUGUCAUAUUGGAAGCCAAAGACAGAGGACUGUACUUGUCAAUAUUAGCAUUGUUCUGCAUUUUGACUGAGUUAUAGAGUAUAAUUUGGAGAUGAAUCUUAUGUAAAUCCAGCAUGAGUUCAAUAUUUGUUAGGUUAGGGUGCUCGUUUAAGAUAGAUAAUAGCUUUUUCUACAGCACAAACUUUUGUUAAAAAAAUUGGUUUUGGUGAGAGCAGUUUCUACUACUGAUAAUCCAAUAUCUGUGAGAAACAUGAAAUUCACCUUUAAAAAUAUAUUUAAAGGGAGUUCAAUUUUGAGUUACAUUUUCUAGGGUGCAUGUGUUAUAUGCACUACAGGAGACCAAUAGAAUAUUAACACCUUCUUGGUUUUUUUCAGUAUGGGACAGUAAUGCAGAUGUGCCAUAUAUUUGGUAUGGGUUUAAAUUUGUGGGCAGAAUAAACUAUGUUGUGAAUGUCUGUUAUGUAUUAAUGGAGAGUUAAUAUUCUUUUCUGACCUUUAAGCUGUGGUCUUAGUGCAUCUUUACUCAAUAUUUUUUAUUAAUGAGACCUAAUAUAACUGUUAGCAUACAGAGAAUUCAAAACAGUGUAAUUGCAUGUAGAAAUUGUCCAGCUAAUAGAAAACUACAAAGUAAUUGGUCAGAUGCUCUCAGAAGAUCAACAUUCUGUGGAUUACUUUUAGUACAAUUGGAGCAAUUGUCCAAAAGAAGCAUGAGAGAAUUGGAAUUUUGAAAUAUUUUGAUAGAAUGUUCAUUUUGGUACAAAAGAACAAGUGAAAGGGGUAUUAUGAGGUAGCUUUCAGAGAAAGUGAUAGGGAGGGUUGAAGGAAGACUGGCAAACGAUUGGAAUGGUUGGUUACCCUCCCUGUCAAAAAUGUAUGCCUUAUAUCCAGUCCAAAUUUGUCUGGCUUCAACUUCCAGGCAUUGGAUUAUGUUAUAUCUUUCUCUGCUAGACUGAAGAGCACAUUAUUAAGUAUUUCUUCCCCAUGGAGGUACUGUAAUCACAUCACCCCUAACCUUCUCUUUGUUAAGCUAAAUAGAUUGAGCUCUUUUCUCAAACACUAUAAGGCUUGUUUUCUAGUCUUUUUAAUCAUUCUCCUGCCUCUUCUCUGAAACUUCUCCAGUAUGUCAUCAUCCUUUUUGAAUUGUAUACAUCAGAACAUCAACAGUAUUCCAGCAUCAGUCGUAUUAGUGCCAAAUACAGAGUAUAACAUCAGAAGCUCAUGUUCAGCUGAUUAUCCACGAUGAACCCUAACUCUCUUGCAGAGUCACUGCUUCCCAGGAUAAAGCCCCACAUCUUUGUGAAAAACUUUACAGUCCAAGUCAAAUAUGAUGCAUGGAAUAGUUCAAACACAAGAAGAUGCUGUUUCACCUGCAGAGUCUACUUGUGGCCAUGUGCUGAGAGCGGUGUGCUACUUCCCAGUCUCAGAUAUUGGCAAAUAUAAUAGAUAUAUGCCCCCCUUUUGACACUCUUUGCGAGACAGUAAAUGAUAUGGUGGCAAACCAAUCUGCAGCUGGUCAUCCGUCUCUGCUAGGGAUGAACAGGGCUUCACUGGCUCAUAUAAACCACAAGCUGUAUGUCCAGCAAAGCUUUUCCCCUGGAUGGCAUGAACUUCUGGAAAUCAAGCCCAUCUUUAUUUCCAUAAGCUUUUAGCUUAGCUUUUUCAGUGUAACUUUGCCACUCAACAUUUGACCUUCUCUCCAUCAUCAAUCUCGGGCAGUGAGGAAUCUGGACCAUCAGACUCCUUUGGCAUGCCAGAGAUGAGGCUGGUCUCUCAUCACCAGGUCCCCAAGGAAGGGUCCUGAUUUCAGGGCAAGAACCUGAUUAUCUUCUGGUCAGAUCAUUGGUGAGACUGUAAACCCUCUAAAAAUCAUGCUAACAGAGUCAAGAGAAUUGGAUAUGAAUGUGGAAGAUCAAAUAGGGCAUUGGACCGUGGGUAGACUGCCAGUGAGGCCCAACCUGGCUUUGAGGAAGAUAGAUGGGCCAUGCUACAGCACAAGGAGAGCUCAACCUAUUUGACUCAUCCAGACUAACUCCAGGCCUCCAGGGGAGGAUAAUAAAGAGCUAAAGCUUGGCUACCACUUUAAUGGAUGCAGUGCAUUCUCUGCCUGCAGUUGGCCAGCUUGGGGGGGGGGGUAGUGGGGGACCUGGGGACCAAAGCUUUGUGUUCAGCCCACCUUAGGGAGCCUAGCACCACCUUGCAUGAUGUCUGUGCUCCCCAAGCACAUUGUGACAGGAGGGCAAGGAUCUUUAUGACUCUGCCACACCAUUGUGCACCCACACAGGGCCAGCUCGAAUCUAGCUCAUACCGCAAACCAAUCAUAUAUUUGCUCAUUCAGACACACAAUAUAGGCACACAGGACAUAUACAGCUGUACCUUAAUUGUAGCUAGUGCUACCUCCAUUGUUGCACAUUGCCUCAAUGUCAAACUUUUAGCUUCCUCUCGAGUGACGUGGUCCUGAAAAACAUGGUAAUAUUGUAGCUGUUAUAAGGAAAAGCAAGUCUUGCUGCUUCUCUUGCCUUUUUAAAAACAUCUACAUUUGGCAAGGAUGCACUCACCCUUCAACUCGUUUUUUUAAAAAAUAAAUUACAAUGCAAAGCUAUUCCAUUGUUUGUUGAAAAUGAGAAUUGAAAAGAAAAACUGAAAUUUAAUGCUAGGGUAUCUGUAAAGUGUUUUCCAAUUAUUUUGAAAAGACAAGUUGAUUUUCUGUUCUGUAAAAGAAAUGGAUUAAAUGUUAUAAAUGUGUUGAAUACUCAUGGAUGCCAUUAAAAUUGCAUAUUUUACUAAUGAAAUUUGACUUUGGCAGUAAAUUGGUGUUUGGCAGAAGCCCAAACUUAAACAAAAGUCUGA